CCUACGGGAGGCAGCAGUGGGGAAUAUUGCGCAAUGGGCGAAAGCCUGACGCAGCGACGCCGCGUGAGGGAUGAAGGUCUUCGGAUCGGAAACCUCUGUCAGCAGGGAAGAACGGUCACUGUGCUAAUCAGCAGUGAAUUGACGGUACCUGCAAAGGAAGCACCGGCUAACUCCGUGCCAGCAGCCGCGGUAAUACGGAGGGUGCGAGCGUUAAUCGGAAUUACUGGGCGUAAAGCGCUCGUAGGCGGUAUGUCAAGUCAAGGGUGAAAUCCCCGAGCUCAACGUGGGAACUGCCUUUGAUACUGGUAAACUGGAGUGUGUGAGCGGAUAGUGGAAUUCCAGGUGUAGGAGUGAAAUCCGUAGAUAUCAGGCGGAACAUCAGUGGCGAAGGCGACUAUCUGGCACAUAACUGACGCUGAGGAGCGAAAGCGUGGGUAGCAAACAGGAUUAGAUACCCCUGUAGUC
This 465-nucleotide ribosomal RNA is filed under the name uncultured bacterium. RNAcentral describes it as "partial 16S ribosomal RNA". It matches the Rfam family "Bacterial small subunit ribosomal RNA", at positions 338 to 795 of the family's 1533-position model. The record is from RNAcentral.